ACUCUGGGCUUCAAACCGGCUCCAAUGAAACCAACAGCAUGGUGAGGGUACUUCUGCCUCAGGUGGUCCAGGAACACCUCCUUCUUCCUCUCCACCUCAGAGUGCUGCAUUAUUAGGCUGUCCAGCUCGCUGUCCCUGCUGCUGGUAGCAUAGCUUCGGGACGCUCAGUGCUGCUGUCCACAGCAGAAGAAGAAGAAGAAGAAGAAGAGGAGCCUCUGGAUGGGGAGUGUCCUGUGUCUGGGUAUAGCAGAAAAAACAAGAUGAGGGUACAGAGAAAGGAUGAAAGAGAUGAAAAUAGAGGACAGGACAAGAAGAACAGGGGCAAAUAAAGCAGAAAAGCAAAUAUGACAGGGUGAACUUUACAGCUACAUUUUGAAAUGUUCACAUUUGUCAGGUUGUAACUGCUAGUAUGUGUUAUCCUUUUUCACUUUGACAUAAUACAACUAAAUAUGUACAACUAAAUGGGUAUUAUGUAAAUAGAUUUUAAUGUGUCUCUUGUGUUCAGUCUCACUUCCGUUCAAACUGCAUAUAAACUCUGGAAACAUUUA
Molecule: long non-coding RNA, 548 nt
Organism: Thunnus maccoyii (southern bluefin tuna)
Lineage: Eukaryota; Metazoa; Chordata; Actinopteri; Scombriformes; Scombridae
Exons: 3
Source: RefSeq, a predicted model, not a curated record